GACGUAGGGCGCGAGCGUUGUCCGGAUUUAUUGGGCGUAAAGAGCUUGUAGGCGGUUUGUCGCGUCUGCUGUGAAAAUCCGGGGCUCAACCCCGGACUUGCAGUGGGUACGGGCAGACUGGAGUGUGGUAGGGGAGACUGGAAUUCCUGGUGUAGCGGUGGAAUGCGCAGAUAUCAGGAGGAACACCGAUGGCGAAGGCAGGUCGUCUGGGCCACUACUGACGCUGAGAAGCGAAAGCAUGGGGAGCGAACAGG
This 254-nucleotide ribosomal RNA is filed under the name uncultured bacterium. RNAcentral describes it as "partial 16S ribosomal RNA". It matches the Rfam family "Bacterial small subunit ribosomal RNA", at positions 524 to 776 of the family's 1533-position model. The record is from RNAcentral.